UGCGGGGUAGCGCAGCGGUAGAGCGUCGGAGUCAUAAUCCGAAGGGCGAUGGUUCGAUCCCAUCCCCCGCAUCCA
RNAcentral lists this transfer RNA (75 nucleotides) under Parvibaculum sp. RNAcentral's name for it is "tRNA-Met". It matches the Rfam family "tRNA". Rfam says of the family: Transfer RNA (tRNA) molecules are approximately 80 nucleotides in length. Their secondary structure includes four short double-helical elements and three loops (D, anti-codon, and T loops). The record is from RNAcentral. Lineage: Bacteria; Pseudomonadati; Pseudomonadota; Alphaproteobacteria; Hyphomicrobiales; Parvibaculaceae.